GACUUGGCAGAAAAAUGCAAUUGAUUUAGGUUCAAUCUAUAAUAUUAAGAUAUUAGUC
Molecule: transfer RNA, 58 nt
Filed under: Chromodoris quadricolor
Lineage: Eukaryota; Metazoa; Mollusca; Gastropoda; Nudibranchia; Chromodorididae
Also listed under: 1 other name
Description: tRNA-Leu
Source: RNAcentral